CCGAACGCUGGCGGCAGGCCUACACAUGCAUGUCGAACGGAUCUUCGGGAUCGGUGGCGGACGGGUGAGUACACGUGGGAACGUGCCCUUUGGUUCGGAACAACUCAGGGAAACUUGAGCUAAUACCGGAUGUGCCCUUCGGGGGAAAGAUUUAUCGCCAUUGGAGCGGCCCGCGUCUGAUUAGCUUGUUGGUGGGGUAAUGGCCUACCAAGGCUACGAUCAGUAGCUGGUCUGAGAGGACGAUCAGCCACACUGGGAUUGAGAUACGGCCCAGACUCCUACGGGAGGCAGCAGUGGGGAAUAUUGGACAAUGGGCGCAAGCCUGAUCCAGCAAUGCCGCGUGUGUGAAGAAGGCCCGAGGGUUGUAAAGCACUUUCA
RNAcentral lists this ribosomal RNA (378 nucleotides) under uncultured bacterium. Its description in RNAcentral is "bacterial SSU rRNA". It matches the Rfam family "Bacterial small subunit ribosomal RNA", at positions 30 to 438 of the family's 1533-position model. The record is from RNAcentral.